Molecule: transfer RNA, 88 nt
Filed under: Candidatus Woesebacteria bacterium
Lineage: Bacteria; Candidatus Woeseibacteriota
Description: tRNA-Ser
Rfam family: tRNA
About the family: Transfer RNA (tRNA) molecules are approximately 80 nucleotides in length.
Source: RNAcentral
GGAGACGUCGCAUAGUGGCCAAUUGCAACAGGUUGCUAACCUGUACCGGUUUACCGGUCCGUGGGUUCAAAUCCCACCGUCUCCGCCA